This is a long non-coding RNA of Helianthus annuus (common sunflower), 2221 nucleotides long. RefSeq lists it as uncharacterized. The transcript is spliced from 10 exons. The record is from RefSeq and is a predicted model, not a curated record. Lineage: Eukaryota; Viridiplantae; Streptophyta; Magnoliopsida; Asterales; Asteraceae.
CAGAUCUGAAGGGGGAAGGUUUCUUUGCUCCCUUAUUUGGAUUGAAAACAAGCACAUAAUGUUGGGUGUGAAUCGGUUUCCGACAUCGCGUUUAUUCAGGUGGAUGGCCUUGCGCCACUCUUCCAGCAACCUUUUUGUUGGAGAUAUUUUUGCCAUACGUUCGAGUUGAUGAUGUCAAUUCUUGUGCGGGACAGAUUGAAGCAAAGUCGCGAUGUGGAUUUGUUGAAUAUUCAAAUAGAGAUGUGGCAAUGGCAGCUAUAAAAUGCUCUUAAAUGGAAUUUAUAGAAUGGUUGUAAACAGCCGUUGAUUGUUCAAUUUGCUGACCCUAAGAGACCCAAGCCAGGAGAAACGAGGUUAUUUCCUUGCUUUUAAUAAUAAUUUAGCUAGGUGAUGCCCUACAUUAGGUGGUCUGGUGUUACUUUGGUCAUCGGUUACAGUCCCAGGGAUUACCUUUUCUAUAUGCUCAUUAUAAUUAUUUUGCUUUUUUUAAACUUUAUAUAUUUAACCUUCUUCAUGUCAACAAAUAUUUUUACGAGCCACCAAAUAUUGGUGAUGGGAUGCAGGGUUCUAUUCCUCGGAAUUCUAAUAUAUGAUUAUUUACAAAGCGUUAAUCCAUCGUUGGAGACUGGAAAUGCUAAAUUUGCAGCAUUCUGGACGAGACCGCAGAUCAUCUCCUCAUCGAGUGUUUGGUCUCUAAAAUUUUAUGGUGGCAUGUGUUGGUUUGGAUUAAGACUCUGCUGCCCGACAGUUUCAAUAUAUGUUCUUCUUAUAGGCCGUCUUGGUAGUUAAAACUUAAUUUUUCUUUUGGGGGGGGGGGAUACGGCUUGUUUUAUAUGCGUGGAUCUAUAUGCAUGGAUCUCGAGAACAACUCCAAAGAAGAGAAAAACUCAACCUACUGUUGCACUGCUGUAGAUGCUGAGCUAUAACUUCUUGUUGCAGUUUGAAGAUAUUGGUUCGCAUGAGACAAAGAUAAUCAAUCAUAUACAUAUACAACUUAUAUCCAUUGAAGGCAGCAGCUCGUGGCUGCCGUAACGACGCAGCGUGCGGCUGCCCAGACGCCGCAGCACAGCUGCAGGCAAACACAGCAACGUGGCUGCCGCUAAAACGCAGCGGCACGGCUUCCAUAACGCCACAGUGCGCGGCUGCCUUAACGCCACAGCGCGUGGCUGCCGAAACGUAGAGCGCGGCUGCAGAAACACUGUGGCCAAACGCAACGCGCACGACUGCUGGCAGAUGCAACGGGUGCGGCUGCCAUAACGCUGCAGCGUGCGGCUUCAGAAACGCGGCUUCAGGUGGUGGUGGUGGUGUUUCUGCUGAUGCUGCUGCAGCUGGCGUUGCACAAGCAGCCGCUGUUGAAUCAAAGAAAGAAGAAACGCUCAAAUAGAAAGAAGAGUCGGGCGAUGAACUGGGUCAAAGGUUAUGGCAUAUGAAGAGAUGAAGACAAUGGGCCAGAUGAUACACCUAAUAAAAGAGUAAUGUGAAUCUUUGAGAGGUAAAAGCCCAAGAAUUUUGGUACUGUUUGGUUGCAAGUAAGCAACUGGUUGGUAUUCAUAUAGAUAAAGAGUAAUCCACCGACAAUGUUCAGAAUAUCAAAGUGUCAUGUGUUGAUAGAGGAUUGAUGGAAUAAACAAGGUGAUUGGAUGGAAUAAAAGAGUGAUGUCCAUACAAAAGUCGUAUUUUUCACUUGCCACAUUCUAAGUGAUUAACGUCGAUACAUUUUAUGGCGUCUAAGCACUCAUAAACGACAAAGUGCUGGUGGAAUGCAUAGCAAGUUACCUAACAAGAGGAUCAUCAAAUCCAGUUUAUACGACAAAGGCUUUAACAGGUUUUUCGUGGCAUCUAAUACCUGUUUGAUGGAGAUAUAUUUAGAAGGCUGACAAAUAACUGGGGCAGAAAAUGGCUUCACGCCUCAACGUGCGCCCUGACUUUUAAACUGAUCUACACGUCAUUACAGGAAAGGGUCUCUCUCGUUGUCUGCUAACAAGAAGCAUGGUUUUAUCAUCACUGCGUUGUACUGUUUUAAUUAUGUAAUGUUUUAUGAACCUGGGACUUAGAAUAAAAGCUUUGGAGUUACUGUUUUAAUUAUGUAAUGUUUUAUGAACCUGGGACUUAGAAUAAAAGCUUUGGAGUUCCAGGUCAAGUUUGAAUCUAGAAACAUGUGGCAUGCAUGUGGUGUAAGCUACUUUUUUAUAUGUAAUGUAAGUAAUGUUGUUUAUGUUGA